This 1480-nucleotide ribosomal RNA is filed under the name Escherichia coli. Its description in RNAcentral is "bacterial SSU rRNA". It matches the Rfam family "Bacterial small subunit ribosomal RNA". The record is from RNAcentral. Lineage: Bacteria; Pseudomonadati; Pseudomonadota; Gammaproteobacteria; Enterobacterales; Enterobacteriaceae.
GGAAGCAGCUUGCUGUUUUGCUGACGAGUGGCGGACGGGUGAGUAAUGUCUGGGAAACUGCCCGAUGGAGGGGGAUAACUACUGGAAACGGUAGCUAAUACCGCAUAACGUCGCAAGACCAAAGAGGGGGACCUUAGGGCCUCUUGCCAUCGGAUGUGCCCAGAUGGGAUUAGCUAGUAGGUGGGGUAACGGCUCACCUAGGCGACGAUCCCUAGCUGGUCUGAGAGGAUGACCAGCCACACUGGAACUGAGACACGGUCCAGACUCCUACGGGAGGCAGCAGUGGGGAAUAUUGCACAAUGGGCGCAAGCCUGAUGCAGCCAUGCCGCGUGUAUGAAGAAGGCCUUCGGGUUGUAAAGUACUUUCAGCGGGGAGGAAGGGAGUAAAGUUAAUACCUUUGCUCAUUGACGUUACCCGCAGAAGAAGCACCGGCUAACUCCGUGCCAGCAGCCGCGGUAAUACGGAGGGUGCAAGCGUUAAUCGGAAUUACUGGGCGUAAAGCGCACGCAGGCGGUUUGUUAAGUCAGAUGUGAAAUCCCCGGGCUCAACCUGGGAACUGCAUCUGAUACUGGCAAGCUUGAGUCUCGUAGAGGGGGGUAGAAUUCCAGGUGUAGCGGUGAAAUGCGUAGAGAUCUGGAGGAAUACCGGUGGCGAAGGCGGCCCCCUGGACGAAGACUGACGCUCAGGUGCGAAAGCGUGGGGAGCAAACAGGAUUAGAUACCCUGGUAGUCCACGCCGUAAACGAUGUCGACUUGGAGGUUGUGCCCUUGAGGCGUGGCUUCCGGAGCUAACGCGUUAAGUCGACCGCCUGGGGAGUACGGCCGCAAGGUUAAAACUCAAAUGAAUUGACGGGGGCCCGCACAAGCGGUGGAGCAUGUGGUUUAAUUCGAUGCAACGCGAAGAACCUUACCUGGUCUUGACAUCCACGGAAGUUUUCAGAGAUGAGAAUGUGCCUUCGGGAACCGUGAGACAGGUGCUGCAUGGCUGUCGUCAGCUCGUGUUGUGAAAUGUUGGGUUAAGUCCCGCAACGAGCGCAACCCUUAUCCUUUGUUGCCAGCGGUCCGGCCGGGAACUCAAAGGAGACUGCCAGUGAUAAACUGGAGGAAGGUGGGGAUGACGUCAAGUCAUCAUGGCCCUUACGACCAGGGCUACACACGUGCUACAAUGGCGCAUACAAAGAGAAGCGACCUCGCGAGAGCAAGCGGACCUCAUAAAGUGCGUCGUAGUCCGGAUUGGAGUCUGCAACUCGACUCCAUGAAGUCGGAAUCGCUAGUAAUCGUGGAUCAGAAUGCCACGGUGAAUACGUUCCCGGGCCUUGUACACACCGCCCGUCACACCAUGGGAGUGGGUUGCAAAAGAAGUAGGUAGCUUAACCUUCGGGAGGGCGCUUACCACUUUGUGAUUCAUGACUGGGGUGAAGUCGUAACAAGGUAACCGUAGGGGAACCUGCGGUUGGAUCACCUCCUUACCUUAAAGAAGC